Molecule: ribosomal RNA, 498 nt
Filed under: uncultured bacterium
Lineage: Bacteria
Description: partial 16S ribosomal RNA
Rfam family: Bacterial small subunit ribosomal RNA
Source: RNAcentral
ACGAACGCUGGCGGCGUGCUUCACCCAUGCCAGUCGCACGGGCCCGCUCUCUUUUUUGGGGGUGGGUUGAGUGGCGAACGGGUGAGUAUCACGUGAGUAACCUGCCCCCUGCUCCUGGAUAACUGCUUGAAAGGGCGGCUAAUACGGGGUGUGCCGGCUGGUCCGCAUGGGCCUGGUCGGGAUAGUUUCAUCUUCGGGUGUUUCGGUGGGGGAUGGGCUCGCGGCCUAUCAGCUUGUUGGUGGGGUGAUGGCCCACCAAGGCGGUGACGGGUAGCCGGCCUGAGAGGGUGGGCGGCCACACUGGGACUGAGACACGGCCCAGACUCCUGCGGGAGGCAGCAGUGGGGGGUAUUGCACAAUGGGCGGAAGCCUGAUGCAGCGACGUCGCGUGAGGGAUGGAGGCCUUCGGGUUGUGAACCUCUUUCUCCGGUGGUGAAGGCCCUGUCCGUUGCGGCGGGGUUGGCGGUAGCCGGGUAUGAAGCGCCGGCUAACUACGUG